This 45-nucleotide non-coding RNA is filed under the name Schistosoma mansoni. Lineage: Eukaryota; Metazoa; Platyhelminthes; Trematoda; Strigeidida; Schistosomatidae. The record is from RNAcentral.
AUCAAACUGACGGAUCCGAAAUAGGACGAAACCCGAGUCCUGGAU